UACGGAGGGUGCAAGCGUUAUCCGGAUUCACUGGGUUUAAAGGGUGCGUAGGAGGGCAGGUAAGUCAGUGGUGAAAUCUCUGGGCUUAACCCAGAAACUGCCGUUGAUACUAUCUGUCUUGAAUACCGUGGAGGUGAGCGGAAUAUGUCAUGUAGCGGUGAAAUGCUUAGAUAUGACAUAGAACACCAAUUGCGAAGGCAGCCCGCUACACGGUUAUUGACACUGAGGCACGAAAGCGUGGGGAUCAAACAGG
This 253-nucleotide ribosomal RNA is filed under the name uncultured bacterium. RNAcentral's name for it is "partial 16S ribosomal RNA". It matches the Rfam family "Bacterial small subunit ribosomal RNA", at positions 524 to 776 of the family's 1533-position model. The record is from RNAcentral.